CAAAGUCUGACGGAGCACGCCGCGUGAGCGAUGAAGGUUUUCGGAUCGUAAAACUCUGUUGUUAGGGAAGAACAAGUGCCAUAGUAACUGAUGGCACCUUGACGGUACCUAACCAGAAAGCCACGGCUAACUACGUGCCAGCAGCCGCGGUAAUACGUAGGUGGCAAGCGUUGUCCGGAAUUAUUGGGCGUAAAGCGCUCGCAGGCGGUUCUUUAAGUCUGAUGUGAAAUCUUACGGCUCAACCGUAAACGUGCAUUGGAAACUGGGGAACUUGAGUGCAGAAGAGGAGAGUGGAAUUCCACGUGUAGCGGUGAAAUGCGUAGAGAUGUGGAGGAACACCAGUGGCGAAGGCGACUCUCUGGUCUGUAACUGACGCUGAGGAGCGAAAGCGUGGGGAGCGAACAGGAUUAGAUACCCUGGUAGUCCACGCCGUAAACGAUGAGUGCUAGGUGUCAGGGGGUUUCCGCCCCUUAGUGCUGAAGUUAACGCAUUAAGCACUCCGCCUGGGGAGUACGGCCGCAAGGCUGAAACUCCAAAGUGUUGACGGGGCGCCGCACCAAGCGGUGGAG
This 569-nucleotide ribosomal RNA is filed under the name uncultured bacterium. RNAcentral's name for it is "bacterial SSU rRNA". It matches the Rfam family "Bacterial small subunit ribosomal RNA", at positions 377 to 937 of the family's 1533-position model. The record is from RNAcentral.